CCCACACCUAUGUGUGUAGGACCCCAAACGUUCACCAUUAAAUUUGGCACAGAUCUUCAGGAAAGUUAUCACAUGGGUGUUGGACUUGACUUUUCCAAAGAUCUGUAACAAAUUUAAUGGUGAUCUUUUGGGGUCCUACACACAUGGAUGUGGA
Molecule: microRNA precursor, 154 nt
Filed under: Amborella trichopoda
Lineage: Eukaryota; Viridiplantae; Streptophyta; Magnoliopsida; Amborellales; Amborellaceae
Description: MIR8565 microRNA precursor family
Rfam family: MIR8565 microRNA precursor family
Source: Rfam by way of RNAcentral